UACGUAGGGAGCAAGCGUUGUCCGGAAUCAUUGGGCGUAAAGCGCGCGUAGGUGGCUUCGUAAGUCCGUUGUGAAAGUCAAAGGCUCAACCUUUGAAAGCCGAUGGAUACUGUGAAGCUAGAGUACGGAAGAGGCGAGUGGAAUUCCUGGUGUAGCGGUGGAAUGCGCAGAUAUCAGGAGGAACACCAAUAGCGAAGGCAGCUCGCUGGGACGGUACUGACGCUGAGGUGCGAAAGCGUGGGGAGCAAACAGG
This 253-nucleotide ribosomal RNA is filed under the name uncultured bacterium. RNAcentral's name for it is "partial 16S ribosomal RNA". It matches the Rfam family "Bacterial small subunit ribosomal RNA", at positions 524 to 776 of the family's 1533-position model. The record is from RNAcentral.